This is a long non-coding RNA of Orcinus orca (killer whale), 8570 nucleotides long. RefSeq lists it as uncharacterized. The transcript has 3 exons. The record is from RefSeq and is a predicted model, not a curated record. NCBI's taxonomy places the organism in Eukaryota, Metazoa, Chordata, Mammalia, Artiodactyla, Delphinidae.
CGAAAUUCAGCCACAAGCUAAUCCCAUCAGACCCCUCCUAGGACUAAGAUGCCUGCGUCCCUGGGGACUCCGUGAACAUGAAUUAUGGGGAUACGUGGAACCUCUGAUUUACAACCACUGGAGCUCGUAUAUCAUGAAGAUGCUCUUGGCCGGGCAGUGCCCUCUGAAAAUCAGUGAAGAAAGAAAUGAGAGAUGCUUAGGGAGGCAACAUAUAUUAGGCACCUACUGUAUGCCGGCUGCUAAUCACCUCCGGAGGUACUUAAUUAAUGCAUGCUCGUUGAAUGAAUGACUUUCAGGGAUGAGAAAACAUGGGCCCUUGGCAACGUUUGCUGUUUCCCUUAAUCCCUACGACUCAGAGAGUUGGACGUUUUUAUUCCCGUUGCACAGAGAAGGAAACUGAGGCUUGGGGAGUGUCUUGGGUUUGCUCAGAUUCUCGUAUAUUAGGGAAACAGUGAAGCGAAGCUUUGCCCCUAAGUCUGGUACCUAAGAGGAUUUCAUGGCGCUCAAACCGUGACAGAGAGGGCAAUGCCCCGACAAGGCGAUUUACAAAUGACUCAGUGUUCUUGCGAGUGUUUGUGUCCUUAGGACUGAGCUUUCGUUUCCUCCUCUCUAAGAUGGGAUUCUAAGAGUAUUCUCCUCGUGGGCUUGUUGUAAAAAUUAAGAGUUAAGUCAGUUGAGACUCGCGGUACGGUCCCUGCGACCCUGCAAGCCUUGAUAAGCCACUGGAUUACAGUGAACAGAAAUGGAUAUGAUUUGGGUAGGAAGAGAGAGCUCUUCAUCUGAGCACCGCAAACUCUAUUUCCACCUGAGUUACUUCUGCGCCACCCUGGGUGAAGUUGACUUACCUACAGCCAGUUCUUCCUGAAGCUAGCUCGGUGACCUUGUCACAUCGAUGCCUUGCUGUGUUAUCUCACGUCAAAUAAUAACUCACAGCUUUAUCUGGGCAUGGAUACAGCUGUCCUCAGCCCAUCUGCCUCCGAGAGAGCCUGUCACUGAGAGAAUAGAUCCAGAAGUGGGUAAAAGUGCUUGAGGAAUACAAAACACAUUCCCGAUCGUAAAUGUCCCAAGAAAAUAAAUGUCAUUGUAAGAGACAAAGCAUGAGGACUGGUCUUGUACCUUUCACCUCGGCUGCUGCCCCAAAGGCCGCCUGCUGCCCCCAGGGCUCCCACCCCAAGCCACUGCAGAAAACAGGCUUUUAAAAACCUUCUAAAAUCUAAAAAUCCAGUCAUCUUCUCCCAAACGGCACACAGACUACAGAGCCAGAACGCCUGGGUUCAAACUCCACAGCUGCCACAUUCGACAGGAAUUGCCUUGGGCAAGUUAUUCUGCACCUCAGGCCCCAAAUCAAGCUUAUCCCUUCUGGAAUCCUUCAUCUGCUCUUCUCUCUUUUCAAAGUCUUCCUCUCAUUUCCAGUCCAGAGGCUCCUGGACAUGGCCUUGUUUUCCUGGAUGCCUCAGAAAUUACUGUUGACAUCUGCAAAACGUUAGCGUACCCUAGUUCAGAGGUCAGCAACCUCUGGCCCAAUCCAGGCUCCACCUGUUUUUGUAAAUAAAGUUUUAUUGAAACAGCCACUCCCCAUCAUUUACAUAUUCCCUGGGGCUGCUUUCCCACUAAAGUUGCAGAGGUGAACCAUUGUGACAGAGACCCUAUGAUCCUCAAAGCCUGAAAUAUUUACUCUCUAGAUGGCCCUUUACUGGAAAAGCUUGCCAAUCCCUGCCCUAGUUCAGUGUCUCUAAAACUCAUUUCGGGUGUUGAAAAUCUAAUGUCAUGAUCAUUUCUGUUGAAACAUAUAAAUGUCGCCACAUCCAACAGAAAUUCAUUAAGUAUAGAUGAUGCGCUAAAUCAGAUAUCAUUUAUAGUGCAGGACUUUAAAAGCUGCAGUUUGGGAUAGAAAAAUUUUAAAUUGGGAAAGAAAUAUACCCUGUUUGUCAACUCCUUCGGAGAGUGGAUUGGGCAAAACAUCUUAAAUCAAAUGUGUUGAAUACCUAGUAUGCCAGGCACCCCGAUAAGUCAUUUUACAGGUAUUAAGGCAUUUAACCGUCACGAUAGCCCUAGGAGGUUGCAAAUGUUAUUAUUUCUACAGGAGGUCAUAAAUUCUGGAAACGAAGGGGAAAUGUCCAUAAUGUCACCCAAGAAAUCUUCAGUUUAUUAAAAAAAAAAAGUACUCUGUGUCUUUAGACGUUAUGGAUGGGGCUGUGUUGUAUGGUUUAAAAAUUGAGGUGAGGGCUUCCCUGGUGGUGCAGUGGUUGAGAGUCCGCCUGCCGAUGCAGGGGACGCGGGUUCGUGCCCCGGUCCGGGAAGAUCCCACAUGCCGCGGAGCGGCUGGGCCCAUGAGCCAUGGCCGCUGAGCCUGCGCGUCCGGAGCCUGUGCUGCGCAACGGGAGAGGCCACAACAGUGAGAGGCCCGCGUACCGCAAAAAAAAAAAAAAAAAAAAAAAAAUUGAGGUGAAAUUGCGAAAGUGGUUGCCGAAAGUUGCACAGGAGAUUAAGCGAUGCAGUGAGGGGUCAGAUUGGCUGUCAGAAUCACGUUCUUGUAGCUUUAACCCUGUGGCUCCUUUGUGGCUCCUAGUUCAACAUCACAGAGUAUCCGCGUUCUGUAGGACCAGAGGAUCCUGGUUAGAUACCCACCCUGAAGAUUUGACUCCAUUUUGCCUGGACUGAAACUCCUUUUUUUAAAAUCACUUCACGUAUCUUGGGCGUCCCAACCAUGUUGGUUCUGCUCUUUCUGGUCUAAGCUCAUUGCCUUUGAUGGAUUAGACAAAAGCAAAUGAAGAGUUGACUCUUCCUGUCUCAUGUUCACUGUCAUCUUUUAACUUUGCACAUCAGCCUCCAGCAGGGUACUUCUAUCUUGCUCUGUUCUGACUCUUACCAGACCUCAAAUUGUGUGUGUGUGUGUGUGUGUGUGUCUGCGUGCACACAUGGCUUUCUAGCACCAGGGCUCUGGAGACAGCCUGUCUCUAUUCAAAUCCUGGUUCCCACUUGCGAGUGGUGGGGUCUGGGCCAGUUCCUUCCUCUCUCUCUGCUUCGUAUGCCUCCUCUGUAAAGGCAGGCUGGUGAUAGUAGCUGAGUCACACGGCUGUAGGGAGGCCUCAGAGAGACGGCGUCUGAAGGCUGCGAUUUGAGCAAGGAGCCUGCCAUGCCCGAAGCAUGUGAUCAUGCCAGUUGCAUUGGUGGUUGUUAUUCAGAGGUGAGUCCAGGCAUCUGUGUUCCCGAAGAUCACGUUGCUUGUUUUAUUCACUCUUGAGGGUAUGCACCUCUGGAGUGAGUUCACUAGUCCCCCACCACCACAGAAGAAAGAGAUACGUCCCCGGGAAGCUAUGAAUGUGACCUUAUUUGGAAAAAGAGUCUUUGCAGAUGUGAUUAAAUUAAUGUGAUCUUGAGAUGAGGUUCUCCUCGACUGAGGUGAGCCCUAAAUCUGACAAGUGUCCCUAGAAGGCUAGUUAAGGGGAGAAGACACGGAAGAGCAGGUGGUGUAAACGUGGAGACAGAAGCUGGACGGAUGUGUCUACAAACCAAGAAACACCAAAGAUUGCCAGCAACCGCCAGAACCUGGAAGAGGUAAAAGAGGUUCCGCCCUAGAGCCUCGAGAGGGAGCCUGGCCCUGCUGACCAUGCAGAUUUGGGACUUCUGGCCUCCAGGACUGCGGGAGAAUACAUUUCUGUUGUUUAAAGCCACUAGCUAGUGGUAAUUUGUCAUAGCAGCCACAGGAAACCAACACGUCUCCCUCCAUCUUCCCUAAUCACCUUUCACGUGCGCGCACCAGGUUGCCCUCUGUGCGUCCCCCACCCCGCCCCCAUUUCUCCGGAUGUGGCUGGGUGCCCUACACAGAGCUUUGAUUCUGUUCUCUGCUGUGUUUCUGGUCCAGUUACUUUGCCUUCCUGAGCCUCCGUUUCCUAAUUCAUAGCAUGAAUAAUAAUGCUUGCUCAUAGGCCAUUAUAAUAAUAAUGAUGAUGUGAUGAGGAUAAUACUAACAACAGCAUCAGUGUCCGCCAUCUAUGGAGCUCUGGCAGUGGCCAGGCACUCGUCAAAGUGCAUCAUUUCAUUUCGUCCUCGCAGUCGCCCUGUGAGCGGGCGCUGCUACGGCCCAUGUUCUAGAGAUGAGGAAACGGAAGCAGAGAGAGUUCAGAGUCACUUGUCCAAAGUCAUGUGAAUGGAUAAUCCGUGUAUUCAUGGUUUGGGCACAUCCUUACUGAGGAUAAAACUCUGCUGUAAGCACAGAGGACAAGAGGUGAAGAAAUCAAUAUCCCUCCCUCAGUAGAGCUUAUGUUCUAAUUGGGGAGACAUAAAUUUUGGAAAGUUCUGAGCAUUCUACCGGCCUAUAGUAAUCUUUCUAUAAAUAUGUCUGCCCACUGCUCUCUGACCCCACUGUGGAAAAUAGAGAGAAAUUGAGUAGCUUCAAGUUCACGGUCAGUUUCUCCCAAGGCCAUGUCAUUUCUAACUUAACCAAUGGUUCCUUCUCCUGGGCCGGCAGCCCCCCCCACCCCCACCCCCCGUUACUUCCUUAACCUUCUGGGAAACCCACUUGUCAGCAUUGGAGCUGGUGAUGCUCUCAGAUGUCUUGGCGAGGGAGACAGUGAAUCUCCAAGAAGUGGCGCAGGCCACGGGGAAGCCCCCCAAGGGCUCACACUCCACGUCGGGGCCAACCACCCAACGCAGAGGACAGUGCCCUCACCCAGGUGCCCCCUUGGCACGCCGUGCCCGCUGGAGCACGUGUAUUUCCAAGGUCGGGCGGCUUCUUUUUCUCCCUUCUUUAAUCUGUACUCACGUUGUCUCUGUGGGUUUUGCAACCUCAAGUUUAUUCCUUUCCCUUCCUUGUAUUAAUUUUUUUAAUUCGUUUUUAAUUGCAUAAGAGAUACAUUUUUGUGUAGAAAACAGCACAGAGAUCUAGUUUUUUUUAAAAAAACACAUAAUUCCAGACACAGAUAACAAAUUUACGGUUACCAAAAGGGAAAGGGAGGGAGGGAUAAAUGAGGAGUUGGGGAUUAAAAUAUACACACUACUAUGCCUAAAAUAGAGGAGCAGCGAGGACCUACUCUAUGGCACAGGGAACUAUACUCAAUAUCUUGUAAUAACCUAUAAUGGAAAAGAACAUUAAAAAUACAUAUAUAUUUAUUUUAUAUAGAUAUAUUUUUAAAAGAUCGUCAAUGGAUAGAUUGUAGGGAAUAUAAGAAUAAAGGAGAGAGCUGCUCCUUUUCUGCUAAAAUAUUUAUCAAUCAAAGGAGACCCUGGGUCUCCCGAUAUGGAAUGAAUGUCAUGUUAGGGAUGGGUGUCCUUUGCUUAUAUGCAUAAAAGUGUUACUGAGUGUUUUUAAGGAGGGUCUGACGCAUCUGGCCACUUUGAAGGUCCCCAGGGGACCGCCACUGAAGUCAAAACUAGAACUCCUUGGUGGUGGUGAGAUUAAAUUCCUCCUCCCCUCUGCUCGCCUCUCACCCCACGGUGUGCACACCCUCAGCCAUGACCUUGAACUUGGCUGGAUCAAUUUUUUGACCUUAGCCCCAUGCAAUCUGACAUUUGUUUGUACGAUUCUUUGCCUGUCUCCUCCAGAAAACAGGAAGGUCCCUUCCUGCUCAUCCUGUUAUUGCUGGCACGUAGCACAAUGCCCGGCUCAUAGGAGACACUUAAUAUAUUUUUGUUCGCUUUCUUUUUAUCUUCUGCGAGAAUUCCCGGGCGCCUCUCUCUUACCUUUCUCUGCAGCAAAACUAUUGUUCUCGUUGGAUCACGGGCAUGAUCCAGAAAAAUUAAUUGUUGUCCUUGACCUAAUCUACAGAGUCACCCAUUCAUUAGUCCCCUCGUCCCUGGGGACCUUCAAAGUGGCCAGUUCUGCUGGCGCCUCCUGAGAAACCCUCAGUAACACCUUUAUGCAUAAAAACAAAGGACCCCCAUCCCUAACAUGACAUUCAUUCCGUAUCAAGAGACCCAGUAUCUCCUUUAGUUGAUAUUUUAGCAGAAAAGAAACAGCUCUCUCCUUUAUUCUUAUUUCCCUAUUAUCUGUCUGCUGAUGAUCUUUUAAAAAAUAUAAAUCAGACCUUAGCAAAACCCUUUCACUGGCUUCCACUGAACCUGAAUUAAAGCCUCAGUUGUCUCAGGGCCGCGUCCUGCACCUGGCUUCUGCCUGCCCUUCACCUUCACUCGUACCUCUCUUCCUCUAAACCUAGACACUAGGCUUCCUUCUGUCUGCCACACAGUCCAUGCCUGGUUGGUCUCGUGCCUUUGCACAAAACCACGGGUGUCACCCUUGGGUAUACCUUAGAAUCUCCUGGCAGUUGUGUAUUUUUAAUAUCUUCUCAGUAUAUUCAAGCCUCAGCUGAAAUUCUGUCCCUGCAGAGAACCCAUCUCCCAUCAUCCUGGUGAAACACGGUCCACGACACGCUCAUCCCCGCUGCGUCCCAUCCUCCAGCUGAAAUUGAGUGACUUCUGUGGUUACUUCCACGGUCAUUGUUUCUGUCCCUCACUGGAAUCUAAACUCCAGGAAGGCAGAGAGGUCUCCUGAUGCUUUCUCUCUCUCUACCCAGCGUGCUCCAAAGGGCCCCAGCACGUCAUCGUCGCUCGGGGAUUAUUUAUUGGCGGAACGACUAUGUGAAUGCAUAAAUUAAUGGAUAAAUAGGUGAAUUAAUAUUUUUUCAGUAAUAAAAUGUGACAUGAAUCCCACCUAUUUGUUUUAAAAUGCACUCUUGUGGCCUCAGACCCCUUCCACUUCUCCCAUAUCUGCUAGAGCCAUAAUUUUCUAUUUUAUAUGUGUACCUGAGCAUUUUCUCAAGCAGUUGGACUUGGCCAAGGGGGCUGAAGGUCAGUGUUAAUUUAAUACACUAGCUAACAUCCCUCUUUCAACCUUCUGCUUUAUAAGGAAGCACUGUAGGCACAGUUUUACAAAUUGUCUGAGCCAUUGAUCCAUAGAACUUCUAAUGUUUACUUCAAUUAGGAAGAGUUUCAGAGAAAGAGCAAAUUAAUUACCUCCCCCCCCCCAAAUUUCAACUUAAUUAGCCAUUGUUUCUUUCUCCAUGGCUUAGUAAUUGGCUAGGUUUCAACCUGGACCUAGAAGAAUUAGAGGGGGAGCCCCCCCUAAAGUAGGCGUCCACACCUAACGCAGCCCCUGGUUCUCUGCUUGGACUUUCAGAGUGUGUAGGACACUUAGGGGAAAAUGAGCUGCUGAAAGAAGGAUGAAUCCGUGGGAGUGAAAGUCUGUGGCUCGUUGCAUUAGUGCAUUCCAGUUUUCCUUGCUGAAACAAACAGUUGCACGGGAAGUGCUAUUUGAUUUUAUUUUUGCCCCUUAAAUUUUUUCCUUGUGAGUUUCACUGAUGUUUGUCCCGAUGGGAGACCACCUGUGUUAAUUGCUAGUCUGGCCGUGGAGGUUUGGGCAAGUCAGGUUCAGUUAUAGCUCUUCUCUUCCAUAUCAUAGCCUUGGACUCAAUAAAAUAGGGGAGGCUUCCAACAGAGGCUGUUUUCAGUGUCCUAAAAGGCCCUUUGCCCUGUGUUUUGUUUAGCCUUAAAAGUAUUUUAUAGCACCAUCUCCCCGUACUUAGGGAACAGGUACAAAAACCGUCAAGUGAUAGAAUUGGUCACACAGACGAUUUUAAAAGGAGUCAUGAAAUGGAUGUAUCCAACAAAAAAAUGUAAUGUUUAAUGUGUUCCUACUGAGAGUAAGGGAUGUUACGCCAGGGGCUGUUGGCAGUAAAUCAUCCCAUGAUUUAGAUCACACCCCUGUGACGGGGUUUCAGGAGUCUCCUUUCUGGUGGCCGCAGGUCUGGGCUGACGAAGUUAUCCUGUCCUGUACUAGGGCAGGUUUGGGGCUGCUAUCUGCAUCUUUGCAGCCUCGGGGAGUAAAAAGGAUGGGAAUGGCGGACGCUCUAGAAAUGGCUUGUGUACUAGGUAAGAGGGAUCACAUUCCGCUCAUCCGGGAAGCCCUCCCUGAUUAGCAUGAUUGUAGCCCUUCUCCAGUUUGGUCCUUACUCUUUAGCAUUGCACACGAUGGAGCUCUUCGUCAGAGCACGCCUGUCGUGGGUGCAACCUGGGAACAACUGUACGCAGGUGGGUCAUCACCUAAUGACUUAUCAUCUUUCUCCAUGGUCUGAGAGCCCCCAAAGACAGGGGCCAUAUCUAUCCAGCUCACCCCUGUAGCCUAUACAGGGUGACUUCUGGUACACUGUAAGUGCUCUAGACAUAUUUGGAGAAAGAAUAAAUGAAUGAAUGAAUUAUAGGACAUACUGCACUUAGGCCCUAAAAGAAGGCUGGCUACAUGACACUGCUGUGACACUCGCAUGUUCCAGAAUGUGCCAUUACACGAGGACAGAGAGUGCGUGAACGCUACUCCACAGAGUAUAAGUUCCCUCUAAGUGGAGCAGGUGAGCUAGAAAGUACAUUCGGCUUGGAACUGUCCUACAAAGACGAGUUCAGACAAUGUCACGUGUCCCGUGAGCUCCAAGUCAGUUGGAGCCCAGAGCUGUGUCAGCGGCCCAGGUGGGAGGAUGUGGGUCGUUGGUGGAUGAGAAAGGUGGAAACAAGUAUGUACCCCCAGCCCUGGGCUGGGCCUCUGGGACGUCAGGAAUUGGUGGGUUUUGCUCACAGCCCCUGUG